CCUGGAUGUUGAACUUGCAAAAGGGUUAUAUCACUCGGACAGCGCUCGUGGUGUUUGUUCAUUUCUUGGGCCCUCGGGAUCCUUUAAGCAGUGAAAUGGGAACUGCAUGGGUAGUGCAGCUUCUUAAGAACAUUUAAAUACACUUUUCUGUUGUAGAGCCCAAAACAUAUGGCAACUUUCAUUUAAAAUUUUUAUUUAAAAAUAAUUUUUUCUUGCAUAGGGCCCUGGUCCUCUGUGUGACCAGUCAAAGAGACACAAAGGAACAUUACACGCUGAUUUCCUUGUUGCUCUUACAGCAGAAUGGGAUUUUGAUGCUGAGGAUUCUGGACAGAAGGGACAGACUUCAGGGUGAUUCCUUCACUGAGUCUGGAGCCAAGGUGGAAAAAAAAGGUUUUAUGUCUCUGUGCCGGAGGUAUUAUGUUUUGGAGUUGUGGGCCGACGGCCCGUCCAUCCCUGGUCUUGAUGGGGUCGUCGGGCAGUUCCUGCCACCUGCUGCUUAUCUUCGUGAUUGCCUUCGCCCACCUCCAGUAUUUAAGCCGGCCUGAUCUACCAGUCUUCGCCAGGUCGUCAGAUACUCCUGCGUUUUUCCCCUGUGUCCGGCUCCUCCGCUUUGACCGGCAUGUCUCCCUGCCUCGCCAGUUCCCGUCCGGAGCUCCCGCAUCCAGCCUCCCAAUUUCAAACUUCAUCAACCUGUUAAAAUAAACUUCUGUACUGAAGAGGUCGGCCUAGUGGGUCCAGUUAUUUGAAAGAAACCUAACAGCAGCAUCUGGAGAUGAGGGAGG
Long non-coding RNA from Gasterosteus aculeatus aculeatus (three-spined stickleback), 782 nucleotides. The record is from Ensembl. NCBI's taxonomy places the organism in Eukaryota, Metazoa, Chordata, Actinopteri, Perciformes, Gasterosteidae.